Molecule: long non-coding RNA, 1178 nt
Organism: Oryzias melastigma (Indian medaka)
Lineage: Eukaryota; Metazoa; Chordata; Actinopteri; Beloniformes; Adrianichthyidae
Exons: 2
Source: RefSeq, a predicted model, not a curated record
GACGCCUCCAGAGCCGCGGGCGGGUCGCUUCUGCGCAUGCGCAGGAGCAGCUCGAGCGGGAGGACUCUUUUAGCCGUUUAUGUUUCUGGACGCUAUCGAUCAGUAUCGACACUGAAGCGGCUUUGAUGGAUUGUAAAAUGCCCGCGCGACGCAGUCGGGAUGUCUGAAGGAACCGCCGAAGGCCUGCAAACACUUUCCCGCUUCUUUCUGGGAAGAAAGCCGCAGUUCAGCACCCGGAUGGAGCGUCAGGAAGCACUGAAGGUGUGGACGAGGCAUUCUGGGAAAGCUGGAUCCCAAAGAGACAAGGAGGAGACGGAAACUUUUGAUGAGUCCUGAGCCGUUGAAUCUACGUGACCCACGUACGCUGAAGCCCACAAGCCCGGCGCGGGGGCCACUUUUGAUCCGGGCGCACAGAAAUCAGGAGCAGCAUGGAGCCGCAGGCUAGCAAGACACUGCAGAGAGAAUGUGUGUCGAUGGGUGAUUUUUGAGGAGUGUUUACAGAAGCCAGAGCGGAUAUAAAAGCGUAACGUGGGAGUUUGUCCUCUCAGUGGAUUUCUGGAAUAUUUUCAUUUCAUCUGCUGCAGAUGGAGGCUGAGCUUUCGGCUCCUUUUGCUGCUGCAGCUGAUGAUGAUGAAGGGGUCGUGGUUUUUCUAAACUGUGGAGAAGAAAGAGUGUUCAGCUUUGAGAUUCCUCACGCUUCACGCCGCCGUCUGUUUUUGUUGGAUGUACAUUUCCUGCAUCGAUGCGAGCUCAUCUCCACGCUGACUGCGACACAGCUGCCAAUAAUUACAGAUCCGACAGAUUAAAACCUGAGCAGCAUUGGGCCAAUCAAACUCUCCCCUGGAGCUCUUCAUCUCCAUCCUCUUCCUCCUCUGUGUCCUGAAUUCUGUCCAUCAGUUGAGCAAACAUUUCAGAGCUGAAGGCCUCUUGUGUUGGACAGAUGUUACUGGAAUAGGAAUCUUUGGACACAGGAGGAGUAUAUUCGUAUAAACUCCUUUUGUAUUUGAGGCUAAAUUCGAUAUGUUUGUAUUUUACUUUUUUGAUCAAACGACAGAAGAAAGGUGAAUAUUAUUUGUUUAUUCUUAUCCUUGUUGACAAAUCUAGAACAUUGUUUCCUCAUUUAUCUGUUAUCUACAAACAAUGUGUCUAUUUCAAUCAAUAAAAUCUCACUGCAAUCA